GACGAACGCUGGCGGCGUGCUUAACACAUGCAAGUCGAGCGGAAAGGCCCGGCUUUUGUUGGGUUCUCGUGUGGCGAACGGGGGAGUAACACGUGAGUAACCUGCCCUUGUCUUUGGGAUAACUUCUGGGAACUGGGGCUAAUACCGGAUAUGAGCUCCUGCUGCAUGUUGGUGGUUGGAAAGUGUCGGCGGUUGUGGAUGGACUCGCUGCUUAUCAGCUUGUUGGGGAGGUAGUGGCUUACCAAGGCUUUGACGGGUAGCCGGCAUGAGAGGGUGACCGGCCACAUUGGGACUACGAUACGGACCAGACUCCUACGGGAGGCAGCAGUGGGGAAUAUUGCACAAUGGGCGGAAGCCUGAUGCAGAGACGCCGCGUGCGGGAUGCCGGCCUUCGGGUUGUAAACAGCUUUCGACUGUGCCGAAGCCUGCGUGACGGUAAUGGGUAAAGAAGCAACGGCUAACUACGUG
RNAcentral lists this ribosomal RNA (468 nucleotides) under uncultured bacterium. Its description in RNAcentral is "partial 16S ribosomal RNA". It matches the Rfam family "Bacterial small subunit ribosomal RNA", at positions 28 to 507 of the family's 1533-position model. The record is from RNAcentral.